UAACUCUCGUGGCAGGAAGAGGACCAUGAUCAAGAAGGUGGUCUCCCCAGGGCGAGGCUCAACCUGUUGCAUUUUGGGUAUGCUGGCCCCUGAGGUUCCCCAAAUGUGGGAAACUCAGUUGUAUAAUUUGUGGUAGUGAGGAGUUGUGUCCAUGCUCUUCCCUG
Small nuclear RNA from Artibeus jamaicensis (Jamaican fruit-eating bat), 164 nucleotides. RefSeq annotates it as U1 spliceosomal RNA. Lineage: Eukaryota; Metazoa; Chordata; Mammalia; Chiroptera; Phyllostomidae. The record is from RefSeq and is a predicted model, not a curated record. The transcript has a single exon.